ACGGCUCAGUAACACGUGGACAACCUGCCCUUAGGUUGGGUAUAAACCCGGGAAACUGGGUAUAAUACCCGAUAGGUCUCGAUUGCUGGAAUGCAUCGAGAUUUAAAGCUCCGGCGCCUAAGGAUGGGUCUGCGGCCUAUCAGGUAGUAGUGGGUGUAGCGUACCUACUAGCCUACGACGGGUACGGGUUGUGAGAGCAAGAGCCCGGAGAUGGAUUCUGAGACACGAAUCCAGGCCCUACGGGGUGCAGCAGGCGCGAAAACUUUACAAUGCUGGCAACAGCGAUAAGGGAACCUCGAGUGCCAGGUUACAAAUCUGGCUGUCGAGAUGCCUAAAAAGCAUUUCAUAGCAAGGGCCGGGCAAGACCGGUGCCAGCCGCCGCGGUAACACCGGCGGCUCGAGUGGUAACCGUUAUUAUUGGGUCUAAAGGGUCUGUAGCCGGCCGGAUAAGUCUCUUGAGAAAUCUGGCAGCUUAACUGUCAGGCUUUCAGGAGAUACUGUCUGGCUCGAGGCCGGGAGAGGUGAGAGGUACUUCAGGGGUAGGGGUGAAAUCUUGUAAUCCUUGAAGGACCACCAGUGGCGAAGGCGUCUCACCAGAACGGACCUGACGGCAAGGGACGAAAGCUAGGGGCACGAACCGGAUUAGAUACCCGGGUAGUCCUAGCCGUAAACGAUACUCGCUAGGUGUCGGCCACGGUGCGACCGUUGUCGGUGCCGUANGGAAGCCGUGAAGCGAGCCACCUGGGAAGUACGGCCGCAAGGCUGAAACUUAAAGGAAUUGGCGGGGGAGCAC
RNAcentral lists this ribosomal RNA (793 nucleotides) under uncultured Methanosaeta sp. Its description in RNAcentral is "bacterial SSU rRNA". It matches the Rfam family "Archaeal small subunit ribosomal RNA", at positions 85 to 879 of the family's 1478-position model. Lineage: Archaea; Methanobacteriati; Methanobacteriota; Methanomicrobia; Methanotrichales; Methanotrichaceae. The record is from RNAcentral.